Molecule: non-coding RNA, 2133 nt
Organism: Rattus norvegicus (Norway rat)
Lineage: Eukaryota; Metazoa; Chordata; Mammalia; Rodentia; Muridae
Source: RefSeq, a predicted model, not a curated record
CCUGGCAUUCCCUUAUACAGGGGCAUAGAUCCAUCACAGAACCAAGGGCCUCUCUUCCCAUUGAUGCCCAACAAUGCCAAGAGGCAAUGAUAUUGUUCACGUGCCUCUUGCUGUAGUACCUCACUUCAUAGUUAAAUUAUACCACAGACUCAUACCGAGCUUUACUCAUGAUCACACCUCUUAUACCUUUAUUAACCUUUAGGAUUUUAUGAUCUGUGAGGCGUAGAUACACAUCUGUUCAACAGACCAAAUUUAUACCUAGCCACCUGUCUAAAUAUUUCAAAGGCUACUUGUAAAAAUACCUUGAGUGUAUAAAAUAGUGCUUACCUUAGUUUUAGGAUAAACAUACUAUUUAUGUACCUCAAUCCUCAGGGCCCCGUUUUCAAUAACUCAUGUAAUUUACAGCUGCAUAUAGUUGGAUGUAGGUCUGGGUGUGGUAAAACAUUAGGUUAAAGUGCAUUCCAUCAUUAAGAAAAACGUUCAGAUUAUGGGACUAUAUCAUAGAGAUUCUUUGAAAAUACUGAGAUUUUUAAGUGUAAUAUGAAUAUUAAAACACUUAAAAAUGACUUGUGCUACACUUAUUCCUAUACAAGGGAAUUGAUGAAGAAGUGCAAACUAGAGUAUUAUCUAAGUUUUUUCAUCAAUUUUUUUGAUUUUUUUCAUAAAUAUCCUAUGUUCACAAAACCUAAUGAAGAAAAAAUUUAUGAAUGAAUAAAUAAGAAAUCAUGAUUAAAUGAAAUACACUAGACAGGUGUAUAAUUUUAACUGGGAGGUCUGCAUAUUUGUGACAUAUGAAUGGAAAUUACUGAAUUUAGAUAUGGUAUCUAUCAUAUCUAUACCAUACCAUAUAUAUACACAUAUAAUAUGGUGAUUUUUUAGUAUUUCUUACUUCGAUAAUUAUAAAGCUGAAUUGUGCUUAGCUUAGAGAAAAUGUGGAGCAUUUGAAGCACAGUAAAUGUACUAAGCUCAGGAUUAUAUAAUAUUUGGGAACCAAUAGGGUCAAUCUCUGCCAUCCUGUAAGAGGUGUAGAAGACAUUAAGGCACCAGUAUGAAAUAUAAAGAGGUCUCUGACUAUGUUACCAACAAAUACCAGUCGUCUUUAUUUGUGGGAUAUGUUGACAUGUGUCAGAGAGUCUUAUUUCUUGGCCAUAAAGCUUUAAAAGGUAUUCAAAAUUUAUAAGUUGUUCUUUAAUUUCUAAUAAUAGGGAUGACUUACCUUUUUAUCAAUAAAUUAUUAGAUAUAUGAUUACAAAGUUUUGUCUUAUUAAUUACUAUACACACUGACAAUUUUCCCAUCCCCCCCAACCCUGAGGACAAGCUCUAUAACAGAGUCCUAUGUAAUGUUUGUUAUUAGACACUGACUCCAUGGUAGGGGCUCAGCUUUCAUAUGCCUACCGAAUCUUUGUAUAUCUGAAGUGUGACUACAGCACCCAAUUGCAAAUUUAUUUCAUUAAAAAUUUACAGGUUUGUCAAAUAGCAAAUUUUUAAUUAAAAAUAUGGAUAUUUUUAUAUUUUCAUGCACAUUACUUUUUAUAUAUAAUUUUAUAUGACUAUGAAAUAAAUCAAUACAUAAUCUUAAUAUAAAUUGUUAUGAUCAUGACCCUGCACAAUAAUAUUCUAUAUAGAUUUGGAAAUGAAUUUUUUUCUGGAAAAAUUUAUUGGUUAAGAUUUGUUAAAGAGAAUCUGUAUGCUGCCCUCAAGGACAACAUCAUAUAGAGGUUUUUUUUUUUAUUUUUACAUUUUAUUUCCUAUGUUGCUGAUAGACUAAAAUUAAUUUUUGCCUGUUUAAAAAUCGUAACAAAGUCAUGCCAGUGGAUUUUACAGGUGUAGCUUCUGAUGUUACUUGGAGACAAAAUCUCACAUUAAAGUCUCUGAUCCUCUGAUUCUAACAGUAUUUCUGUCAUCUCUUCUGAAAUAUUGCCUUCACCUCAGUUGCAGGGCUGUUUUGUAGUUGGAUCCAUUGGCAGUGGACUCCACAACUCUGAACUUGGAUUGCCUGUCCUUUUCUAUAGCGGGCUCAGGCUCUUGCCAAGAGAUUUCAUGAUUUAUGGACGGAGAGGCGGCCAAAGUUAUGAGCUCCCUGUGGAAAUUACUGGUGUCAAGAGAGAUCAGAACAGGCAAUUUUGUAGUUAU